Molecule: long non-coding RNA, 1450 nt
Filed under: Ananas comosus (pineapple)
Lineage: Eukaryota; Viridiplantae; Streptophyta; Magnoliopsida; Poales; Bromeliaceae
Description: long non-coding RNA (ACOM_LNC024602)
Source: RNAcentral
AGAGAUAUUUACAUGCAGUUUUUCGAAAAUUAUUGGGAUCUUUGGCUGCGUUUGGUUCGGGUAUAAGUAAGAACUGCUUGUUCCAGGGAUAGGUAAAAGUUCAGGUAUAAGCAGGAACUAGACCAAUUUUGCGUUUGGAUGAAAAUUGAGUUGUUCCUAGGAAUAAGACAAAUAGCGUUUGGAUGGUUAAAUUGGAACAAGAGGAAUAAAAGUUAUAAUUUGAAAUUAAAAUUAUAUUAUCUAAUUAACUAACAUCAAAAUAUUACUAAAAAAUAAAUAAUAAAUAAAUUAUUAAUAAAUUAAUUAUUAGUAUUAAUAAUUAUAAAUAAUUAAUUAUAAAUAAUAAUAAUUAUUAAUAAUUACUAAUAAUUAUUUAUAAGUAAUAAAUUAAUUAAUAAUAAUUAUCUAAUUAUUAAUAAUUAAUUAUAAAUCAUUAUUAAUAAAUAAUAAUAAUAAUUAUUAAUUAUUAAUUAUUAAUAGAAAAUUACUAAUAAUAUCGAUUAUCUAAUUAAUAAGAAUGAUUAUUUUAUUAUUAAUUAUGAAUUAAAUAAUAAUAUUAAUAAUUAAUUAUAAGUAAUAAAUUAAUAAUAAUAAUUAUCUAAUUAUUAAUAAUUAAUUAUAAAUAAUAAAUUAAUAAUAAUAUCGAUUAUCUAUUUCUUAAGAAUAAUAAUUAUUAUUUAAUUAAUAAUUAUUAAUAAAUAAUAAUUAUUAAAUUAUUUAUUAUUGUUAUCUAAUUAUAAAUAAUUAAUUAUAAUUAAUUAUUUAUUUAUUUAUUUUAUUAUUUAAGCAAUAGAUAAUGAUUUAAAUAUAUUAAUUAGAUUAAUUAAUAAUUUACUAUCAUUAAAAUUUAAAUUUAACUUUAAUUAACCUUGUUCUUAUCCGGAAAUAAGCUUGUUCUAGGAAAAAGGUGGAACAGCAGUUCCAGCCAGUUUCAGCCUUAUACCAGCUAGUUCCAAAAACCCGGGAACUGCUGUUUUCGGCUACCAAACGCUGCGUUUGGAAACAAAGGGGGGAACAAGGGCUUAUUCUCCCCCUUGUUCCCGAACCAAACGCUACCUGAGUCUAAUUUAAAAUUAACUCUGACUAGGAUAUAUAUAUAUAUAGAGAGAGAGAGAGAGAGAGAGAGAGAGAGAGAGAGAGUUCGGCUACUAUGCCCAUAAGAGGAUAGAAGCUAAUGUGCUUUCAAGUUAUUUUGGAUGAUCAGAACUUCAAAUUGAUAAUCGGCACCGUUGAAAUUGAUCUACACUAUUAGAAAUAUUUAACAACUGAAUUUUGUAAAUUUUAAAAAAUUAUUAUCAAGUCCAUCGAAGAGUCGAAAAAUGAACGGUCAAAAACAAAUGAUUUUCUGAAAACAGUGGUUAAGAUGAUAGAAAUCUUUGUCCUAUUAAGUUAUUUUAAAUGAUCAGAACUUUAAAUUGAUUUUAAUCGGCAAUGUUGAAAUUCAUAGGAC